This 468-nucleotide ribosomal RNA is filed under the name uncultured bacterium. RNAcentral describes it as "partial 16S ribosomal RNA". It matches the Rfam family "Bacterial small subunit ribosomal RNA", at positions 28 to 507 of the family's 1533-position model. The record is from RNAcentral.
GACGAACGCUGGCGGCGUGCUUAACACAUGCAAGUCGAACGGACAGGCCCUGCUCUUGUGGGGUGCUCGAGUGGCGAACGGGUGAGUAAAACGUGAGUAACCUGCCCUUGACUUUGGGAUAACUUCAGGAAACUGGGGCUAAAACCGGAUAGGAGCUCCUGCUGCAUGGUGGGGGAUGGAAAGUUCCGGCGGUUGGGGAUGGACUGGCGGGUUAUCCGCUUGUUGGGGGGGUAGUGGCUUUACAAGGCUUUGAGGGGUAGCCGGCCUGAGAGGUGGACCGGCCACAUUGGGACUGAGAGACGGCGCAGUCUGCUACGGGAGGCAGCAGUGGAGAAUAUUGCACAACGGGGGGGAGCCUGAUGCGGCAAUGCCGCGUUCGUGAUGACGUCCUUCGGGGUGUAAACCGCUUUGUCCGGUGACGUAGCGGUAUUGACGGUAAUUGGUAAAGAAGCACCGGCUAACUACGUG